Molecule: ribosomal RNA, 253 nt
Filed under: uncultured bacterium
Lineage: Bacteria
Description: partial 16S ribosomal RNA
Rfam family: Bacterial small subunit ribosomal RNA
Source: RNAcentral
UACGUAGGGGGCAAGCGUUGUCCGGAAUCAUUGGGCGUAAAGCGCGUGUAGGCGGUUCAGUAAGUCUGCUGUGAAAGUCCAGGGCUCAACCCUGGGAUGCCGGUGGAUACUGCUGGGCUAGAGUACGGAAGAGGCGAGUGGAAUUCCUGGUGUAGCGGUGAAAUGCGCAGAUAUCAGGAGGAACACCGAUGGCGAAGGCAGCUCGCUGGGACGGUACUGACGCUGAGGCGCGAAAGCGUGGGGAGCAAACAGG